Molecule: ribosomal RNA, 120 nt
Filed under: Ceraceosorus bombacis
Lineage: Eukaryota; Fungi; Basidiomycota; Exobasidiomycetes; Ceraceosorales; Ceraceosoraceae
Source: RNAcentral
AUCUACGGCCACACAACAGGAAAAGUGCCUGGUCUCGUUCGAUCCCAGAAGCGGAAACCCUGUAUGGUCUAGUCAGUAUUGCGGUGGGGGACCACGCGAGAAUCCUAGAUGCCGUAGGUU